UCCCGCACCGCCCGACCAAGCCCCCAACCCGCACGAGACGAGAGCCGCCGCGUCCGCUGCGUCUUCGCCCGCGCCUUCUUCCUCCCUCCCUCGCUCGUUCCCCCGCCUCCCCGGCCUCGCCGAAACCCUAGCCCUGUAGCCCAGGCCCCGCCGCCGUAGAGGGAAGGAGAGAGCGGCGUCAGGAGGAGGGGGGGCGCCGAUGGGGAAGAAGAAGAAGCGCGUGGAGAAGGUCUUCUGCUACUACUGCGACCGCGAGUUCGACGACGAGAAGAUCCUCGUCCAGCACCAGAAGGCCAAGCACUUCAAGUGCCACGUCUGCCACAAGAAGCUCUCCACCGCCUCCGGCAUGGCCAUACACGUCCUCCAGGUCCACAAGGAGUCCGUCACAAAGGUUCCUAAUGCAAAGCCUGAUAGGGAGUCAACAGAUAUUGAGAUCUUUGGAAUGCAAGGAAUCCCUGCACAUGUAUUGGCUGCUCACUAUGGAGAAGAGGAAGAUCCUUCAGCAAAGGUAGCCAAAGUAGAAGUGCCGCAGGUAAGGCCUGUUAUUAUGCCUAAUUCGCUAGGCAUGGCAUUUCCUCCACGACCAGCUUAUGGUGUAGCACCUCCAAUCUAUAAUCCUGCACUGAAUCCUUUGAUGGCCCGACCUCCAAUUUGGCCUACUCCACCAGCACAAGCUUGGUAUCCACAACAAGUAGCAUACCCACAACAACCACCAGUUUCAGUUGCUCCAGUAGUUGCUGGGAUGCCACCACAACAGCCACUAUUUCCUAUUCAGAAUGUGCCUACUCCUAUGACAUCAGCACCUGCUAAUGUACUUCAGACAUCGUUUCCUAUGGCUCCUCCAGGAGUACCUUCACCUGUUGCCCCUCAGAUUUCCCAGCCUUUGUUUCCUGUUAACACUUCCGUUGUCAAUGGAGCUGCAAGUUCCCCAUUUGUAGCAUCUGUUGCACCUGGAACCAUCUCGGCAAGCUCUCCUCCAGCAGUUGGAUAUGGAGCCAAUAACCAAGGCACUGGUGGUCCAGCAGUUGGAUCUUCACCCGCAGUAUCCAAUAACAAAGCAUCUGGUACCCAGCCAGCUACAAAUGAGGUUUAUCUGGUGUGGGAUGAUGAAGCAAUGUCAAUGGAGGAAAGAAGGUUGUCGUUGCCCAAGUAUCAGGUGCAUGAUGAAACUAGCCAGGUAAGUUGUGUAUUUUAUGUUUAAACUAUUAUUUUAGUUUCUCAUACUUAAGUUCCCUGCUGUUCUGCAUUGAGUGAUAGAGAUAUGAUGUUUUGAUGCUUUCAACCAAUUCUUACGUAAAGUGUAUGCAUGGUAUUUGUAUCUUUUUUUUUGUGCUGUUCUCAUCUAGGCAGUUCAUUGUAGGGUGGUAGGAUAAAUGUUAAUAUUAGGCUGACAUUAUUAGCCAUGCAUGUUGCGUCAUGCGCUUGUGUGUAAGGAGUGAGUGAGUGAACAUCUUGGAAGGUUUCACUACUCUUGACUUGUUUAUUAUAUAGGAAUACGAACUUGUCCUUUUGUUUUCCUUGGUGAUACUAUGGACACAAUAGGUACAUUUGGUGAUACAGACAUUUCUUUUGUGCCUAACUUAAAUGGUAAAUUAAAAUAGCAUCUCAGUUUACAGCCAAUUCUUAUUUGUUCCGUGGAUAGAACUGCCACUUUCAUUUUCACUUAUUUUUUUGGCACAUGGAAAAUUAAAAUAGUAUUCUCAGUUUACCUACUCAGUUGUGAACUUACAGUCACAAGGGUAUGUUAUUCUUGAAUGUUUUGUGGGGAAUAUGAAAUAGGCUCAUCCAGUCAUAGCAAUGUUAGUCUGAGAUGAUUCGUGUUCUAUGCUACCUUUUUACAUUUUCACAAUGUCUCCGCUGUGUUUAUUUGAUUGAUCACCUAUAUCCUGCUGAUUUCGCGCACAUGAGGAGUUCCAAGUAGGUAUUUACAUUGUUCUUCCUAAUAGUAAGUUUUCUAUAAUCUGACAAAUCUCGUGGUGCUGUGAUAAUGACCUGAGGGUUAUCGACCAAGCCCUGGACGGUUGGCAAAUCUCAAAAUAGGUGGCUGAGGUUCUGCCAAUACGGUAGCAUUUAUUGUAGCUUAAUUUUGGUCGAGAAUGUGGCAAGAGUUUUGCUCCAGAUGAACUCAGUUGACGCAGCAAUUGAUCGAAGAAUAUCAGAAAGUCGGCUAGCAG
Panicum hallii is the source of this 2174-nucleotide RNA transcript. It is a transcript of the gene named protein SUPPRESSOR OF FRI 4, with no coding region annotated. The record is from RefSeq and is a predicted model, not a curated record. The transcript has 8 exons. Lineage: Eukaryota; Viridiplantae; Streptophyta; Magnoliopsida; Poales; Poaceae.